Molecule: ribosomal RNA, 2992 nt
Filed under: Acinetobacter baumannii
Lineage: Bacteria; Pseudomonadati; Pseudomonadota; Gammaproteobacteria; Moraxellales; Moraxellaceae
Description: 23S ribosomal RNA
Rfam family: Bacterial large subunit ribosomal RNA
Source: RNAcentral
AGUCAAGUAAUUAAGUGCAUGUGGUGGAUGCCUUGGCAGUCAGAGGCGAUGAAAGACGUGAUAGCCUGCGAAAAGCUCCGGGGAGGCGGCAAAUAUCCUUUGAUCCGGAGAUGUCUGAAUGGGGGAACCCACCUACUUUAAGGUAGGUAUUGCAACAUGAAUACAUAGUGUUGCAAGGCGAACGAGGGGAAGUGAAACAUCUCAGUACCCUUAGGAAAAGAAAUCAAUUGAGAUUCCCUCAGUAGCGGCGAGCGAACGGGGAUCAGCCCAUUAAGUUAUGUGUGUUUUAGUGGAACGCUCUGGGAAGUGCGAACGUAGAGGGUGAUAUUCCCGUACACGAAAGGGCACACAUAAUGAUGACGAGUAGGGCGAGGCACGUGAAACCUUGUCUGAAUAUGGGGGGACCAUCCUCCAAGGCUAAAUACUCCUGACUGACCGAUAGUGAACCAGUACCGUGAGGGAAAGGCGAAAAGAACCCCUGUGAGGGGAGUGAAAUAGAUCCUGAAACCGCAUGCAUACAAGCAGUGGGAGCACCUUCGUGGUGUGACUGCGUACCUUUUGUAUAAUGGGUCAGCGACUUAUAUUCAGUAGCGANNNNNNNNNNNNNNNNNNNNNNNNNNNNNNNNNNNNNNNNNNNNNNNNNNNNNNNNNNNNNNNNNNNNNNNNNNNNNNNNNNNNNNNNNNNNNGUGCGAGGUUAACCGUAUAGGGGAGCCGUAGAGAAAUCGAGUCUUAAUAGGGCGUUUAGUUGCUGGGUAUAGACCCGAAACCAGGCGAUCUAUCCAUGAGCAGGUUGAAGGUUGGGUAACACUAACUGGAGGACCGAACCCACUGUCGUUGAAAAGCCAGGGGAUGACUUGUGGAUAGGGGUGAAAGGCUAAUCAAGCCUGGUGAUAGCUGGUUCUCCCCGAAAGCUAUUUAGGUAGCGCCUCGGACGAAUACCAUAGGGGGUAGAGCACUGUUUCGGCUAGGGGGUCAUCCCGACUUACCAAACCGAUGCAAACUCCGAAUACCUAUGAGUACUAUCCGGGAGACAGACUGCGGGUGCUAACGUCCGUAGUCAAGAGGAAAACAAUCCAGACCGCCAGCUAAGGCCCCAAAAUCAUAGUUAAGUGGGAAACGAUGUGGGAAGGCAUAGACAGCUAGGAGGUUGGCUUAGAAGCAGCCACCCUUUAAAGAAAGCGUAAUAGCUCACUAGUCGAGUCGGCCUGCGCGGAAGAUGUAACGGGGCUAAAACUAUGUGCCGAAGCUGCGGAUGUAUACUUUGUAUACGUGGUAGGGGAGCGUUCUGUAAGCCGAUGAAGGUGUGUUGAGAAGCAUGCUGGAGGUAUCAGAAGUGCGAAUGCUGACGUGAGUAACGACAAAACGGGUGAAAAACCCGUUCGCCGAAAGACCAAGGGUUCCAGUCCAACGUUAAUCGGGGCUGGGUGAGUCGACCCCUAAGGCGAGGCCGAAAGGCGUAGUCGAUGGGAAAAUGGUUAAUAUUCCAUUACUUCUGUGUAAUGCGAUGAGAGGACGGAGAAGGCUAAAUCAGCCUGGCGUUGGUUGUCCAGGUGAAAGGAUGUAGGCAUGUAUCUUAGGCAAAUCCGGGGUACUCUAUGCUGAGAUCUGAUAGCAAGCUGUACUUGUACAGCGAAGUGGUUGAUGCCAUGCUUCCAGGAAAAGUCUCUAAGCUUCAGUUACACAGGAAUCGUACCCGAAACCGACACAGGUGGUCAGGUCGAGUAGACCAAGGCGCUUGAGAGAACUCUGCUGAAGGAACUAGGCAAAAUGGUACCGUAACUUCGGGAGAAGGUACGCUGUUGUUGGUGAUGGAACUCGCUUCCUGAGCUGACGACAGCCGCAGAAACCAGGCCGCUGCAACUGUUUAUUAAAAACAUAGCACUCUGCAAACACGAAAGUGGACGUAUAGGGUGUGAUGCCUGCCCGGUGCUGGAAGGUUAAUUGAUGGGGUUAGCGUAAGCGAAGCUCUUGAUCGAAGCCCCAGUAAACGGCGGCCGUAACUAUAACGGUCCUAAGGUAGCGAAAUUCCUUGUCGGGUAAGUUCCGACCUGCACGAAUGGCAUAAUGAUGGCGGCGCUGUCUCCAGCAGAGGCUCAGUGAAAUCGAAAUCGCUGUGAAGAUGCAGUGUACCCGCGGCUAGACGGAAAGACCCCGUGAACCUUUACUGCAGCUUGACACUGAACUUUGACCUUACUUGUGUAGGAUAGGUGGGAGGCUUUGAAGCUGGAACGCUAGUUCCAGUGGAGCCGUCCUUGAAAUACCACCCUGGUAAUGUUGAGGUUCUAACUCUGUCCCGUGAUCCGGGACGAGGACCGUGUCUGGUGGGUAGUUUGACUGGGGCGGUCUCCUCCUAAAGAGUAACGGAGGAGUACGAAGGUGCGCUCAGCGUGGUCGGAAAUCACGCGUAGAGUAUAAAGGCAAAAGCGCGCUUAACUGCGAGACCCACAAGUCGAGCAGGUACGAAAGUAGGUCUUAGUGAUCCGGUGGUUCUGUAUGGAAGGGCCAUCGCUCAACGGAUAAAAGGUACUCUGGGGAUAACAGGCUGAUACCGCCCAAGAGUUCAUAUCGACGGCGGUGUUUGGCACCUCGAUGUCGGCUCAUCUCAUCCUGGGGCUGAAGCAGGUCCCAAGGGUAUGGCUGUUCGCCAUUUAAAGAGGUACGCGAGCUGGGUUUAGAACGUCGUGAGACAGUUCGGUCCCUAUCUACCGUGGGCGCUGGAAAUUUGAGAGGAUCUGCUCCUAGUACGAGAGGACCAGAGUGGACGAACCUCUGGUGUACCGGUUGUGACGCCAGUCGCAUCGCCGGGUAGCUAUGUUCGGAAGGGAUAACCGCUGAAAGCAUCUAAGCGGGAAGCCUACCUCAAGAUAAGAUUUCCCUAGGACUUUAUGUCCUCUAAAGAGCCGUUCGAGACUAGGACGUUGAUAGGUUGGAUGUGGAAGCAUAGUGAUAUGUGAAGCUGACCAAUACUAAUUGCUCGUGAGGCUUGACUAU